UUUCAUGAGAGUUUGAUCCUGGCUCAGGACGAACGCUGGCGGCGUGCCUAAUACAUGCA
This 59-nucleotide ribosomal RNA is filed under the name Aerococcus kribbianus. Its description in RNAcentral is "partial 16S ribosomal RNA". It matches the Rfam family "Bacterial small subunit ribosomal RNA", at positions 1 to 59 of the family's 1533-position model. The record is from RNAcentral. Lineage: Bacteria; Bacillati; Bacillota; Bacilli; Lactobacillales; Aerococcaceae.